UUUGCUUGAUGCCUGGUUCGAGUGGCCAAGGCCGACAUUCAUAGACGUUGGUUAAUCCCUAAUUUCGCCAAACAAUGACGGCCUAGGCUUUUCCGGCUUUUGAAACAGGAAUUCAAGACACUAAAACGUGUGUUGAUGGCAUUUUGGGUUGGGGCUUUUCACAACUGAUGACACUGGAAAAAUAAUCCAUAGGAAACUACCUUAUGAGACCCUAGAUUUCGGUUUAGCAGUUCACCACAAAAGUGGUGAGGUGUUUUUUGGCUUUUAAUUUUAGCUGCUUGCCUCUGUUUUUAGUUCGUGUGAUUGCCUCCGCAAAGGCAGUGAAUGGAGAAUUCUCCCUAAGGUCAGCAUUUAAUUAUUGCCUCACUCUGGCUGCUAUAGUAUUACAACUCUUGGAACUUACAGCAUCGAUCCUACUAUUAAAGUUGCCUGGAGCAUGCCAGCACGUUGGACAUCGGCGUUCCAGCAACUGCCUCAGUCACUGAAUCGAGUGGGAGGCUCAUUUUGCAGUUUACUAUCUCCAUGAGCAGGUCCAGGCGCGGGACCUGUUCUAUGACUCGAUUGGGUCCUGCCCUUGUCCGUCAUCGGAAGGCUUACAGCGCCUACUGUUUUGCAGUAAGAUUUGCAGGCUUAGUACCGCCUCUGGAAACAAGGAGAGUGAAGGGGCGUUGACGAGU
Molecule: long non-coding RNA, 677 nt
Filed under: Homo sapiens (human)
Lineage: Eukaryota; Metazoa; Chordata; Mammalia; Primates; Hominidae
Description: HSALNT0277880
Source: RNAcentral